This is a long non-coding RNA of Zea mays, 2314 nucleotides long. RefSeq lists it as uncharacterized. The transcript is spliced from 2 exons. NCBI's taxonomy places the organism in Eukaryota, Viridiplantae, Streptophyta, Magnoliopsida, Poales, Poaceae. The record is from RefSeq and is a predicted model, not a curated record.
GAACAAUAUUAACGUUUAUUUUGAUUACCAAUUUCUUUCUCACAUACUGCCUUCGUAACUCUAAACCUAGCCGAUUCAUUUCUAGCAAUAACCGCCCCAUCCAUCGUCCUCACCGCCCCCAUCUAGCGAGCGCUGCCGAGUAGCAACGCCCCCAUAGCCGGCGCCCUCGCAUAGCGGCCAACCGCAGCUGGCCAGACAGUCAGCGCCCUCACCUGACAGCCUCGCUCUAGCCUUCAGCCCACGCUCGUCGCGCCCCCACAGCCAGCGCCCUUGCCCCGGCCAUCUUUGUCUAGCCUCCAGCCCACGCCCGCCGCUCGUCGCCUGCGCCAUGGUGCCAGCUAGCCGCUGCCUAGCCCAGCCCUAGUAGGCACCAGUCGCACUGCCCUAGGCCCCACACAUCUGCCCUGUGAGCGCAGGAGGUUUCUGUGCGUUUUUUGGGAGAGGACUGAAUCAAUAAUUGGUUCUUUAUCUCUUGUACUUCGUUGGGAUUCUUUACUCUUGUAGAAUUUAUAAUUAUGUCUCAUAUAGAUUAUAUAUUUGCUGGAAUCAAAGUUAACUUGAUGUUUUAUUGAGGCAGGGCCAACAUGAUCCGAAGAUGAUGAUACAAGUUCCACACUGACAGUGGAAACAUUUAGCUUCUAAGAGCUCUCUGCUACAACUAAUAAUUUCAGUAAGACUCUCAGGAUAGGCUCUCGGGGCCAAGGCACAGUCUAUGAAGGCCACUUACCCCGCAUUGUAUAGGUCAAUUUCUGCUAUGUGUCAUAGUAAUACAUACAUCUUAAAACUUGUCGUUGUGUCACCAUUGAGCUAAUUGUGGAUAUUUGAUUCUGUACUUAGAAUAUGCUACAUGUCUUUUAUGGUUACUAUUAUAAUUUUCGUAUUAUAAUAGUUCACUAUUUGUUCAGCCAAGUUGUUGUCAAGCUGUUACUACUAUAACAUCUUUUAUUAGGAAGCUCCAGUCGAGUGGCCUCGUCCAUUGUGUAGCUUUGUUUAUGGAAAACAAAUAGUUCAUUUUUUGGUCUGCUAUGUUUUUCAACUGAACUGGAGGGCAACAUAUAGAGGUAAUUCCACAAUUAUAAACCACUUGAACUUUCAUCGUCGGUACUGCUUUAUUUAUUAUUUUGUAGAGUGCACUUGUCUGGCCAAUUUGGAUCUUUUAGAUAUCGUGGCUAAAUGUAGUUCAGGCUCAUUAAAAUUGAACUUUAUUUGUUUGCUUAGGAAAAAUGCAGGUCUAGGAAUAAAACUGCAACUCCGUUAGGGUUAUGUGUUAGGGUUAUGUUUGUUUGUGAACAUGUGUAUGUAGUAUAUCCAUAAAAAGAAAGUAGUUUAGCAUCUUUGGCGUAAGAGUGUGUUGCUGAUUGUGUGUGUGAAAGCAAUCUUUUAUCAUUUUAAUCAUGGUUGCUUUUGAAAGUUUUGAGUAUAUGCCACAUGCAUAUGUUCUAAUUUUGUUAUUUACUAUUGUUUACAUUCCAAAUUAUAAGUUGUUUUGGCUAUUCUAGGUUCAUAGUUUUUCUAUGCACCUAAAUAUAAACUAUGUCUAGAUACGUAGCAGUCUUGAAAGUCAAAACAACUUAUAAUUAGGAACAGAUGGAGUAAGUUCUAAUGCUCAAGUGGUUAGAUAUCUGCAUCACUGGAAAUUCAAUGAAAAUAUCCUCGUCAUGCUACUAACGGUGUUAUGUGACGAUGAAGUCUGGAGUAUCUCACUCGUUCUUACUAAUUGAGAUUUGAUAUUUUAAGGUUUUCUAGUUCUCUGUCUUGUUAGAUUAAAACUAUGUCAAUUUUAGCUUAGAUCUAAUGCCAUGUUUUUUUUAUUUUUACCCUCUGACAGGCAGGUUGUUGCAUGUCAUUCACAUUGAUUAAAGAAUAGCUCAAGAAAAAAGACCUAAACUAAAAUGCCAAGAUCUUUAGUUGUUGGGUUUAUAUGUUUGUUGCGAUGAAAGUGAUUAUUAUGUUGUUUCUUUUGAUAUUACAGUUGGGAUCCACUGUGAUUAGGUUGAAGACAAAGGAUGGUGUCGUCCUCGCUAUUGAGAAACUUGUGACCUCACCACUACUGCAUUUGUGGCUGAGGCUAGAAUAGAAGGGAAGAAUCUAAGACCUCUAUUGAAGCAGAUUGUAUAGAAGGGAAGAGUCUUCAAGAUAUUGGUCUUGUAGUUGCAACAAAGAGAAGAGACAAUGGUGGUGAUGCUAUAUCUAUAGAAGUAGCAACGUUGGUAUUGUAGCUCCAAGAUUUGGUUGUUGAUGAAUGAUAUAUAUGAUAAUACAUUGUUAAGUAUAUGUGAUAAUCAUUGAUUGUUAUUUAAUUAUAUUGGGUUGU